This 2902-nucleotide ribosomal RNA is filed under the name Klebsiella pneumoniae. Its description in RNAcentral is "23S ribosomal RNA". It matches the Rfam family "Bacterial large subunit ribosomal RNA". Lineage: Bacteria; Pseudomonadati; Pseudomonadota; Gammaproteobacteria; Enterobacterales; Enterobacteriaceae. The record is from RNAcentral.
GGUUAAGCGACUAAGCGUACACGGUGGAUGCCCUGGCAGUCAGAGGCGAUGAAGGACGUGCUAAUCUGCGAAAAGCGUCGGUAAGGUGAUAUGAACCGUUAUAACCGGCGAUGUCCGAAUGGGGAAACCCAGUGUGAUUCGUCACACUAUCGUUAACUGAAUACAUAGGUUAACGAGGCGAACCGGGGGAACUGAAACAUCUAAGUACCCCGAGGAAAAGAAAUCAACCGAGAUUCCCCCAGUAGCGGCGAGCGAACGGGGAGCAGCCCAGAGUCUGAAUCAGCUUGUGUGUUAGUGGAACGGUCUGGAAAGUCCGACGGUACAGGGUGAUAGUCCCGUACACCAAAAUGCACAGGUUGUGAACUCGAAGAGUAGGGCGGGACACGUGGUAUCCUGUCUGAAUAUGGGGGGACCAUCCUCCAAGGCUAAAUACUCCUGACUGACCGAUAGUGAACCAGUACCGUGAGGGAAAGGCGAAAAGAACCCCGGCGAGGGGAGUGAAAAAGAACCUGAAACCGUGUACGUACAAGCAGUGGGAGCACCUUCGGGUGUGACUGCGUACCUUUUGUAUAAUGGGUCAGCGACUUAUAUUCUGUAGCAAGGUUAACCGUAUAGGGGAGCCGCAGGGAAACCGAGUCUUAACUGGGCGUUAAGUUGCAGGGUAUAGACCCGAAACCCGGUGAUCUAGCCAUGGGCAGGUUGAAGGUUGGGUAACACUAACUGGAGGACCGAACCGACUAAUGUUGAAAAAUUAGCGGAUGACUUGUGGCUGGGGGUGAAAGGCCAAUCAAACCGGGAGAUAGCUGGUUCUCCCCGAAAGCUAUUUAGGUAGCGCCUCGUGAACUCAUCUUCGGGGGUAGAGCACUGUUUCGGCUAGGGGGUCAUCCCGACUUACCAACCCGAUGCAAACUACGAAUACCGAAGAAUGUUAUCACGGGAGACACACGGCGGGUGCUAACGUCCGUCGUGAAGAGGGAAACAACCCAGACCGCCAGCUAAGGUCCCAAAGUCAUGGUUAAGUGGGAAACGAUGUGGGAAGGCACAGACAGCCAGGAUGUUGGCUUAGAAGCAGCCAUCAUUUAAAGAAAGCGUAAUAGCUCACUGGUCGAGUCGGCCUGCGCGGAAGAUGUAACGGGGCUAAACCAUGCACCGAAGCUGCGGCAGCGACACUAUGUGUUGUUGGGUAGGGGAGCGUUCUGUAAGCCUGCGAAGGUGACCUGUGAGGGUUGCUGGAGGUAUCAGAAGUGCGAAUGCUGACAUAAGUAACGAUAAAGCGGGUGAAAAGCCCGCUCGCCGGAAGACCAAGGGUUCCUGUCCAACGUUAAUCGGGGCAGGGUGAGUCGACCCCUAAGGCAAGGCCGAAAGGCGUAGUCGAUGGGAAACAGGUUAAUAUUCCUGUACUUGGUGUUACUGCGAAGGGGGGACGGAGAAGGCUAUGUUAGCCGGGCGACGGUUGUCCCGGUUUAAGCAUGUAGGCUGGUUAUCCAGGCAAAUCCGGAUAAUCAAGGCUGAGGUGUGAUGACGAGGCACUACGGUGCUGAAGUAACAAAUGCCCUGCUUCCAGGAAAAGCCUCUAAGCAUCAGGUAACAUUAAAUCGUACCCCAAACCGACACAGGUGGUCAGGUAGAGAAUACCAAGGCGCUUGAGAGAACUCGGGUGAAGGAACUAGGCAAAAUGGUGCCGUAACUUCGGGAGAAGGCACGCUGGUGUGUAGGUGAAGUCCCUGCGGAUGGAGCUGAGACCAGUCGAAGAUACCAGCUGGCUGCAACUGUUUAUUAAAAACACAGCACUGUGCAAACACGAAAGUGGACGUAUACGGUGUGACGCCUGCCCGGUGCCGGAAGGUUAAUUGAUGGGGUUAUCCGUAAGGAGAAGCUCUUGAUCGAAGCCCCGGUAAACGGCGGCCGUAACUAUAACGGUCCUAAGGUAGCGAAAUUCCUUGUCGGGUAAGUUCCGACCUGCACGAAUGGCGUAAUGAUGGCCAGGCUGUCUCCACCCGAGACUCAGUGAAAUUGAACUCGCUGUGAAGAUGCAGUGUACCCGCGGCAAGACGGAAAGACCCCGUGAACCUUUACUAUAGCUUGACACUGAACAUUGAGCCUUGAUGUGUAGGAUAGGUGGGAGGCUUUGAAGCGUGGACGCCAGUCUGCGUGGAGCCAACCUUGAAAUACCACCCUUUAAUGUUUGAUGUUCUAACGUUGGCCCCUGACCGGGGUUGCGGACAGUGUCUGGUGGGUAGUUUGACUGGGGCGGUCUCCUCCCAAAGCGUAACGGAGGAGCACGAAGGUUAGCUAAUCCUGGUCGGACAUCAGGAGGUUAGUGCAAUGGCAUAAGCUAGCUUGACUGCGAGCGUGACGGCGCGAGCAGGUGCGAAAGCAGGUCAUAGUGAUCCGGUGGUUCUGAAUGGAAGGGCCAUCGCUCAACGGAUAAAAGGUACUCCGGGGAUAACAGGCUGAUACCGCCCAAGAGUUCAUAUCGACGGCGGUGUUUGGCACCUCGAUGUCGGCUCAUCACAUCCUGGGGCUGAAGUAGGUCCCAAGGGUAUGGCUGUUCGCCAUUUAAAGUGGUACGCGAGCUGGGUUUAGAACGUCGUGAGACAGUUCGGUCCCUAUCUGCCGUGGGCGCUGGAGAAUUGAGGGGGGCUGCUCCUAGUACGAGAGGACCGGAGUGGACGCAUCACUGGUGUUCGGGUUGUCAUGCCAAUGGCACUGCCCGGUAGCUAAAUGCGGAAGAGAUAAGUGCUGAAAGCAUCUAAGCACGAAACUUGCCCCGAGAUGAGUUCUCCCUGAGACUUUAAGUCUCCUGAAGGAACGUUAAAGACGAUGACGUUGAUAGGCCGGGUGUGUAAGCGCAGCGAUGCGUUGAGCUAACCGGUACUAAUGAACCGUGAGGCUUAACCUU